GCAGCACCAUCAUGAGUAACAAUAUCUCCUGCAGGAGCCCCAGCUAUGUGUAGGUGAAGAACACCUAAACUACAGAAGGUGGGGCAUCAUGUUCUGAUUGGCUGGGCAACUUACUUCCCAGAGCAGAACAAGAACCAUACUGAGAAAGCUUCUUUAGACCAGAGUCCAGAUCCAUGUCACAAGUCCAAGGAGUGGGUUAUUGCUGAUUCUGGGAAGCAGAAGAUGGAAAAGUCCCUGGGUGCCUCGUUCCUGAUCUUCUGCCUGCACCUUGGAUGGGUGAGCUGUCAACAGAAGGUGGAGCAGAGUCCUCCCACCCAGACUGUCCAGGAGGGAGAAAACACUACUUUUAGCUGCCAUUACUCAGACAGUACUUCCAGAGGAGUACAAUGGUUCAGGCAGGAUCCUGGAAAAGGGCUCAUCCUCCUAUUUUACAUUGUCUCAGAGGGAAAGCAGAAAGGAAGAUUAAGAUCCACAAUGAACAAAAAAGAACUUCUCAGUUCUCUACACAUCACUGACUCCCAGCCUGAAGACUCAGGCACCUACCUCUGUGCUGUGGAGCCACAGUGAUCCCCAGGCACCUGCAGGCUGUGCACAAACCCUGUAGCUGGGGCUCCAAGUCACAUUCCCUGCCAAAGGGCCAUAUGAUGACCACUCAUGAC
Non-coding RNA from Monodelphis domestica (gray short-tailed opossum), 659 nucleotides. The record is from the annotation of a RefSeq genome assembly. NCBI's taxonomy places the organism in Eukaryota, Metazoa, Chordata, Mammalia, Didelphimorphia, Didelphidae.